Molecule: non-coding RNA, 23 nt
Filed under: Arabidopsis thaliana (thale cress)
Lineage: Eukaryota; Viridiplantae; Streptophyta; Magnoliopsida; Brassicales; Brassicaceae
Source: RNAcentral
UUAUCUCCUUCAUACUAGACCUG